Lates calcarifer (barramundi perch) is the source of this 2045-nucleotide long non-coding RNA. RefSeq lists it as uncharacterized. NCBI's taxonomy places the organism in Eukaryota, Metazoa, Chordata, Actinopteri, Centropomidae. The transcript is spliced from 4 exons. The record is from RefSeq and is a predicted model, not a curated record.
UGAAUUUAAUUCACCUGAGUUUCAUGUUUUUUUUAGUGUGGGAGGAAACCGGAGUGCCCGGAGAAAACCCACGCAAGCACUAGGAGAACAUGUUAACUCCACACAGAGGGAAGAAUGGAGACAUCGAGAAGAUGGCAGCAUCUUCUCUCUGUGGUGCCACAGUGCUAAUCACAGAGCCACCGUGCUGCCCAAGAAGGACUUUGUUGUGAUGAUGUUGCCAUGUUCCCAGAUCUCAGCAGUUUUUUUGGGAUCUGGCAGCCAUCCACUGGGAGUCACCAGGUCUAGUGAUUGCUCUGCAGCGAUGAACAGUCAUGUACCACAGAGAGCUGACAGCCUGCAGGGAUUCAUCCCAGCCAAAAACUGCAGCAGCUGCAGACAAGGAAAACCCCUAACCAGUUGGCCAGCGAGCCCGUCAGCCAGUCGGUCGGCCAGUCUGCUCUGCAGAGGGCCCUGCCAAUCAUCAUCUGCUUCUUCUCAUGCUGUUCUGCAGGAGUCUUUCCAUUACACAAGUACCACAAUGUACCUGCUGGGGUUAAACCAAUUCAUUUGCUUGAAGGCCCAUACCAUUUCCAAUAGUUCUCACAGAAAUAUGUCAUACUGAUUGUAGGAAGGCAGGGAUGUAACAUUUCCUGUAGUAACUAUUUGACUGUACUGAAAUACAUCUGGAUCAACUCCUGAAUUUGAAUGCUCUAACAAUAAUGUUAUCAAGGUGAGCAGUGUUUGAACCAAACCAUGCAGUGCACAAUUAUUAACCAAUCUGUAACAGAACCAUAUUAAUGUAAUUAUUUGUCAAGUCAAGUCAGUUUUAUUUAUUUAUACACCAAAUAUUAACAGAGGUUAUCUCAGGGGACUUUUCAUAUAGAGCAGGUUUAGACUGUACUCUUUAUAAUAUUAUUUACAGAUACUCAAAAAGCCCAUGAUCAAGCACUUGGCAAAGUUGGCAAGUGUGUUAGUCAGCCACAUCUAAACUAACAGUAAGUCAUUCCAGUUCAAAAAGCAUUCAUAGUCAGCUGCAGCAGUUAUGUGUUUCCACCUGUGUACACAUUCACUGUAUAGAGUACAUCCCUGUGUUUCCAUUUUCCUGUGUAUUUAUAUAUGUUUUUUUAACCUUUCUUCAGCAAAGGGAGGUUUGCUGAGUAGACAUGCUGCUGUUUACAAUGUCCUGUUUAAUAAGUUUAGAUACACUCAAUAGCACAUAAUAAUAUUGCUGAGGGGGAAUAGAAUAUCAAGAAUUCUCUGCCUGACUUUUUCCAAAGACCUUCGUGUCACUAAUUCAUAAGUCUGCUGCUGUCACUGCUGUGUCAACAAGGUAAUGUGUGAUAACAUCUUGGUUUUGCCAAGAGGCUGGAGGGGUGUUCCACAUAUUGGCAUUCCCACUGUCAUGCUGCCAAUCUCAACAGAAACACCAAGGGAAAUUUAUAAAAUGAAAAGGGAGAAACUGGACAGAGAAAAUCUUGUUGGACUAUACUGUAUAAAACUGAGUUAAGGCUGUCUAACAAGUUGAAAAAAAUUACACUUAAACAGUAAAAAUAUGUAAACAUGAAAAGAUUGAUCACCAGGGUUGGGUUCUGAUAGCUGUUGGCAAUUUACACUGUAGAGCUCCAAUGCUACAAUUUUUUUUAAAAUCAAACUUUUUAUUUCUCCUUGUUAUUUUAUUCAUUAGCAAAGACCAGUGCUGAAAACGUGUAGGUAAGCUUUAGCGGGAUUCUCAUUUACAGGUGGUGCUAAGUGUUAUUUUUGCUAGAGAACAUGACCAACAUUACGUCAGUGGAUCGUAUCAAUUGUAGCUAAUUAAUGGUAUUUCUGUAACAGAUACUCAUAUCUCAUAUCAUCAUAUCAACAUUCUGAGUUAAUUAACUUCAUUGUUCUGAAUCAGGAUCUCCAUUGUUAUAUCAGUGUACCAAAACAAUCAAUAUCAAUUAACAAUCAAGAUUUAUACCUUCAUAUGCUCAGCUCAUUUUCAGGUUGUAGCUAUAUUGUGAUAAACUAACCAGGCAAUCUUAAAUAAAAUUAACUCUAAAAACUGCCUCUUGCGUAACAACAGA